AUAAGCGGAGGAAAAGAAACCAACAGGGAUUGCCCUAGUAACGGCGAGCGAAGCGGCAACAGCUCAAAUUUGAAAUCUGGCUACUUUGUAGUCCGAGUUGUAAUUUGUAGAGGAUGCUUUUGGUGAGGUGCCUUCCGAGUUCCCUGGAACGGGACGCCAGAGAGGGUGAGAGCCCCGUACGGUUGGAUACCAAACCUUUGUAUAGCUCCUUCAACGAGUCGAGUAGUUUGGGAAUGCUGCUCUAAAUGGGAGGUAUAUCUCUUCUAAAGCUAAAUAUAGGCUAGAGACCGAUAGCGCACAAGUAGAGUGAUCGAAAGAUGAAAAGCACUUUGAAAAGAGAGUUAAACAGCACGUGAAAUUGUUGAAAGGGAAGCGCCUAUGACCAGACUUGUUUCUUUCAGUUUUGUUAGUUCUCGGACUGAUUUACUCUGUUAGUACAGGCCAGCAUCAGUUUGUUGUCGGGGAGAAAGGCUUAGGGAAUGUGGCUCCUUCGGGAGUGUUAUAGCCCUUUGCAUAAUACCCUUCGGCAGACUGAGGACCGCGCUUCGGCAAGGAUGCUGGCGUAAUGGUCAUCAGCGACCCGUCUUGAAACACGGACCAAGGAGUCAACCUUAUGUGCGAGUGUUUGGGUGUAAAACCCCAGCGCGUAAUGAACGUGAACGUAGGUGAGAGCUUCGGCGCAUCAUCGACCGAUUCUGAUGUUCUCGGAUGGAUUUGAGUAAGAGCACACAGGGUUGGACCCGAAAGAAGGUGAACUAUGCUUGUAUAGGGUGAAGCCAGAGGAAACUCUGGUGGAGGCUCGCAGCGGUUCUGACGUGCAAAUCGAUCGUCAAAUAUGAGCAUGGGGGCGAAAGACUAAUCGAACCUUCUAGUAGCUGGUU
RNAcentral lists this ribosomal RNA (881 nucleotides) under Chalaropsis thielavioides. Its description in RNAcentral is "partial large subunit ribosomal RNA". It matches the Rfam family "Eukaryotic large subunit ribosomal RNA", at positions 46 to 956 of the family's 3401-position model. Lineage: Eukaryota; Fungi; Ascomycota; Sordariomycetes; Microascales; Ceratocystidaceae. The record is from RNAcentral.